CCCUUAGAUGUUCUGGGCCGCACGCGCGCUACACUGACGAUGGCAACGAGUUUUUCCUUCGCCGAAAGGUGUGGGUAAUCUUUUGAAACAUCGUCGUGCUGGGGAUAGAUCAUUGCAAUUUUUGAUCUUGAACGAGGAAUUCCUAGUAAGCGCGAGUCAUCAGCUCGCGUUGAUUACAUCCCUGCCCUUUGUACACACCGCCCGUCGCUACUACCGAUUGAAUGGUUUAGUGAGGACUCCUGAUUGGCGCCGCCGCCCCGGCAACGGAGCAGCGGACUGCCGAAAAGUUGUUCAAACUUGAUCAUUUAGAGGAAGUAAAAGUCGUAACA
This 329-nucleotide ribosomal RNA is filed under the name uncultured eukaryote. RNAcentral describes it as "partial 18S ribosomal RNA". It matches the Rfam family "Eukaryotic small subunit ribosomal RNA", at positions 1470 to 1796 of the family's 1831-position model. The record is from RNAcentral.